This is a long non-coding RNA of Chroicocephalus ridibundus (black-headed gull), 1795 nucleotides long. RefSeq lists it as uncharacterized. The transcript has 2 exons. Lineage: Eukaryota; Metazoa; Chordata; Aves; Charadriiformes; Laridae. The record is from RefSeq and is a predicted model, not a curated record.
CCGACCCGCCCCUCCGCGGCUCCUGCCGGGCCGCACCUGCCCCGCCGCGGGCCCCACUCUGCUCCGCUCCGCGCCCCGCUCCGCUCCGCGCCCCUCACCUGGCGCCGGGCCGCGGGGCCGGGCCGCCCCUGGGCGGUGCUUUUGUCGGCGGGGGCCGCGGCCCGCCCCGGCGGGGAGGUGAGGGAGGCGCAGGAAAACACCUUUUCUUCUAAAAGUUCUCCUUAAGGUCUUUCUGUUCAAUGAACCAUCUGUGGGAAAGAAAUGAAGGUGAAGAUAAAAUUCCAAGAAGACGCUUGCACAGACCUAUUUGAAAGCAUUUCCUGCCAGGAAACAAGUGCUGCUGAGCCUUUAAGGGCUACGCCUCUGCAACAGCUCCAAGAUACGCUUGCCUUCAGCUAUAUAAGCAGCGGUUAACCAGGACACAGGGGUCUGCAGAAGAAUUACUGACACCUAGACUUAUUUAAGGGAAACUACUACAAAGAAAAGGGUACACAACCAGUUUCUUUUCCUACUUUUCAGUGGUUUCAUCACUUCCUUGCUAUAGACUUAAUGUUUUGAAGAAAUAAAAUUUUGCUGAAGUUAAACCAAUUCCAUUCUUAUCUGUAGCAGGUCAUCUGUUUAAAUGGUGCAGAACAUUAUUUGCUUCUGUGACUUUUCUGUGAUUAAGGAACAAAUAAAUCGCAUCGCUAUUGCAGCAUCUCCCCGAUGUGAGGCUGGGAUGUGAGAUUAAGUUAGCGGGGUUUAGCAAGUAUCAUUUGCACAGUGGUAAGCGUGGACAUGGGGAUGAACAGGCUCUUAGCCGGCAGCAAAUAUGUGGUGAUGAGACUUGUUCUGACAGGAGAGAAGGCUAAGCUAACUCACACAUGGUUUGCCUAUAGCAAAUGCAAAGUAAUACAUGCUGACAAUUUCGGCAGACCAGCUGAUGCAUAGUAAGUUGUUAAUAGGUGUUAACUUGAUGGUGCUUCUGAGCUCACAAGACAAUGUAAUGUAGUGUACCACACUGCUGUUUGCUUAGACCCUCUUCUAUCAGUAAUGGGAUUUUUCUCAUUUUUCUAUAGGUUCAGAUCUCUAUGUAUGUGAAUGCGUAUUGCAUUAGACACACAGCACCUUAAUACUGCAAGUUAUGCCAAUGUUCAUACUGGCUGGAAUAGUCUUAUUUAGAAGUAGGUAUGGUAUAUGUAAUGGGACAGAAACAACUGAGAAAUAGGAGUAAUUGUGAUAAAGGUAGUGGGUACCAAACUGAGACUUGUGCCAACAAAACAGAGAGAGGAAAAGCUCGAAAACAGUUCUGUGUGGCAACAAGAUGUCCCUGUCUGAGCCUUACUGAGAAAGGAUGGAACAGAACAAUGCUGUGAGGAAGCUGUGUUGUAGCUUUUGCUCAGAAGAGAACUGCUAAAGGUGAAAAGUCAGAUAACCAGAGAAUGAAAACCUUUCCUCUUCUUUUUCCCUGUCCUCGCUAAUACGGACAGAUGAAUUCCAACGUUAAUGAAGGGACAGCAUGUGCUUUUGAUUUGGUGAUUGAAACUGAAUGCUGCUCUGUAUGCAUGAAAGGUUACUGAAUGGACAAUAAGAGACUGGGGGAAAACAAGUAAAGAGAACACAAAACAAGCCUGUUCUGCAUCUCAUUUAAAAGAAAUGGUAUGCAUCCAAUGGGAGCAAGAAAAUGAAUGUAAAUUUAGGAUUUUUUCCCUCCUGGGUAGUAAUACAAGCAAAAGGGAAGAAGAUGAGAAAAAACAUAUGUAAUUUAGAGUGAAAAUAAUCCAAUGGGAAAAAAAUUAAAAUUUUCUUAUUUGCA